CUCAUCAUAGUUUAUUAAAACAUUGAUUUGCAAAAUCAAAAUAGGAGCAAAUCCUGGUGUGU
Molecule: transfer RNA, 62 nt
Filed under: Phymorhynchus sp. LD-2020
Lineage: Eukaryota; Metazoa; Mollusca; Gastropoda; Neogastropoda; Raphitomidae
Description: tRNA-Cys
Source: RNAcentral